Molecule: transfer RNA, 72 nt
Filed under: Araneus ventricosus
Lineage: Eukaryota; Metazoa; Arthropoda; Arachnida; Araneae; Araneidae
Description: tRNA-Trp
Source: RNAcentral
UGACCCAGACGUGAAUUGAACACGCAACUUUCUGAUCUGGAGUCAGACGCGCUACCGUUGCGCCACAGAGUC